AGUGAACGCUGGCGGUAGGCCUAACACAUGCAAGUCGAACGGCAGCACAGUAAGAGCUUGCUCUUACGGGUGGCGAGUGGCGGACGGGUGAGGAAUACAUCGGAAUCUACUUUUUCGUGGGGGAUAACGUAGGGAAACUUACGCUAAUACCGCAUACGACCUACGGGUGAAAGCAGGGGAUCUUCGGACCUUGCGCGAUUGAAUGAGCCGAUGUCGGAUUAGCUAGUUGGCGGGGUAAAGGCCCACCAAGGCGACGAUCCGUAGCUGGUCUGAGAGGAUGAUCGGCCACACUGGAACUGAGACACGGUCCAGACUCCUACGGGAGGCAGCAGUGGGGAAUAGUGGACAAUGGGCGCAAGCCUGAUCCAGCCAUACCGCGUGGGUGAAGAAGGCCUUCGGGUUGUAAAGCCCUUUUGUUGGGAAAGAAAAGCAGCAGGUUAAUACCCCGCUGUUCUGACGGUACCCAAAGAAGAAGCACCGGCUAACUUCGUG
Molecule: ribosomal RNA, 492 nt
Filed under: uncultured bacterium
Lineage: Bacteria
Description: partial 16S ribosomal RNA
Rfam family: Bacterial small subunit ribosomal RNA
Source: RNAcentral